RNAcentral lists this long non-coding RNA (636 nucleotides) under Heterocephalus glaber (naked mole-rat). Its description in RNAcentral is "lncRNA (ENSHGLG00000037803.1)". The record is from RNAcentral. Lineage: Eukaryota; Metazoa; Chordata; Mammalia; Rodentia; Bathyergidae.
CUGUAGUAUGACAUGGCAUUGUCAUUAAGCAAGUGAAUGCAAGGACUGGCUUUUUCUCUGUCUAAAUGGAUCUUCUCUACAGAUGUUUGUAGCUCUGUCCAUUUUUUCAGGCUUUCCUUUAUUUCAGAAGAACUUGGCUGCACUGAUUAUUGAUGCUCCCCCUCCUCUCCAGAAAGCUCCUUAGCUGCCAUUCUCUGUUGCUCCAGCCAGAAGUUGCUGAAAUUCCUCUGCAGACAAUUCCUCUGAGUGCUCCUCCACCAGAUCCUCAACAUCACCACUGUCUACCUGCAAGCCUACGUACUCUGCUAUAGUGACAAUGUCAUCAACUGCAGGGAUGAAGCUCUGAGGAUCGUGCUGGUGCAGAAGCAGACUCGUGCUGGCCAGCAGACAGGUUCAAGCCAGCUUCACUACACCCUACCUCCUAUGUCAAUACUCGCUACAAAAAACUCACUGGAAGAAGCGAAUAAUCCAAAUUAUCUGAGAUCCAUGAAAGAAACUGAACUUGAAGUUAAAAUCUUCCUACGACAACAAAACAAAAAACCAUAAAAACCCUCCAGGCCUGGAUGCCUUUGCUGGAGAAUUCCAUCAAACAUUUAAGGAAGGUAUAGUACCGGUUCUAUAAAUAAGUGAUGUGAA